GUGGCUGUGGCUCAGUGGUAGAGUGCUUACCUAGCAUGCAUGAGGCACUGGGUUCAAUCCUCAGCACCACA
This 71-nucleotide transfer RNA is filed under the name Marmota marmota marmota (Alpine marmot). It matches the Rfam family "tRNA". Rfam says of the family: Transfer RNA (tRNA) molecules are approximately 80 nucleotides in length. Their secondary structure includes four short double-helical elements and three loops (D, anti-codon, and T loops). The record is from Rfam by way of RNAcentral. RNAcentral also lists the same sequence under 3 other names. Lineage: Eukaryota; Metazoa; Chordata; Mammalia; Rodentia; Sciuridae.